This 303-nucleotide ribosomal RNA is filed under the name uncultured bacterium. RNAcentral's name for it is "partial 16S ribosomal RNA". It matches the Rfam family "Bacterial small subunit ribosomal RNA", at positions 507 to 809 of the family's 1533-position model. The record is from RNAcentral.
AGCAGUAGCCGCGGGAAUACAGAGGGUGCGAGCGUUAAUCGGAUUUACUGGGCGUAAAGCGUGCGUAGGCGGCUUUUUAAGUCGGAUGUGAAAUCCCUGAGCUUAACUUAGGAAUUGCAUUCGAUACUGGGAAGCUAGAGUAUGGGAGAGGAUGGUAGAAUUCCAGGUGUAGCGGUGAAAUGCGUAGAGAUCUGGAGGAAUACCGAUGGCGAAGGCAGCCAUCUGGCCUAAUACUGACGCUGAGGUACGAAAGCAUGGGGAGCAAACAGGAUUAGAUACCCGAGUAGUCCCUGUCUCUUAUAA